Amphiprion ocellaris (clown anemonefish) is the source of this 1474-nucleotide long non-coding RNA. NCBI's taxonomy places the organism in Eukaryota, Metazoa, Chordata, Actinopteri, Pomacentridae. The record is from Ensembl.
GCGAUUGGUCAGACCAAAGAUAGAAGACAGCGCGCUAGCGUAUCCAGUCUUCUAUAUAUCUAUGGUCUGCACGUCUGGUAGCAUCUCUGGCUGCUGUUGACCUUGUUUUUGGAGUAAAACACGGUGGAAGUUGAAUUAGUGAGGAUGACUCCUGCUCCUGUCAUCUCUAAGCUCCUCACACAUCUUUACCUGCACAUGAGGAAAAUCACUCCUGUAGAAUGCAGAUGUUCAGAGGGAGAUGAUGCCACAUCUGGUCCAGCUGAUGGAAGGUCUUGAAGUUCUCUGACUGGCCUCGACUGAAGAUGGUCGUCUCACUGGAUUUAAGGUUCAGAUGCUCAGUAACAAACACCACCAAUGUGGCAACAGAUGCACAAUGAGGGACGUCUGCAGAGACUGAGAAAGAGUCUCACCACAUCCUGACAUGAGGAAAAAGACUUUAUUGAAGACUACAAUGAGAAAAACUAUCAGACAGCAGACGGCUGCAUUCAAGUCUGUAGCUGCUGAAUUCAUGGAUGAAUCAUCUGGCACUAGAGAAGAAGACCAUCAAACAUCCACGUCAGCUGAUGGAGGUCCAAGAGUCUCACCAAACAAACAACCUACAGAUUUAGGCUGUUAGAUUGUUCCAGAUAAGACAAGUAAAAGAUACUUCAGAGUCGUUCUACCACGAGCCUGACAGGAAGAACUCCAACAGCUACUGAAUGUUCCUGUGGUCCCCUCAAGGCUACAGGAGGAGUCCUACGAGGACGAGCCGGUCCACCUGAUGGUGGCCAGUCGCUGCGGUUCAAAGCUAACACCGACUACAUGGACUUCUACUGGACCACACGGAGGCCUUCAAACCGGACCAACAAGUUCACCGACUCCCCGACUCGUGGGUCUGAGGACGCCGCCGAGCCUCGGUCCAGCCGGCCUCCUGUCUGUGGGUGUUUGAGUGCUGAGAGGUUUGUGGAUGUAAGUGAACGUGUCUGUGUUGAAACAGCAGCUUUGGACUCACUAACGCUGGUAAAAACCAAGAGCUCCUUUAUUUGUGACUUCCACUGAAAAAACUGAUGAAAAUAUGUUUGCCACAGUUCUGACUGAUAACAGAUUAUUAAAUAAUGAAAAUAAUUGUUUAAAUAUUCCUUUAAACAAUCCUUUUAGGUCUACAUUUCCUUUACACUGACUUCUUGGUAUAUGUACAAGUAUUUUGGGUGGAAUAUACCAUUAAGCCCGAUGUUCAAGGGUUCUUCUGGGAAUAUACCAUUAAACCAGCCUUUUAGGUAAAUGUUCCAGGAUGUUGGGUAGAAUAUAUCAUUAGAUCAACCUUUUAGGUCUACAUUGGAAGAUUUCAGAGUAGAAUAUUACUCCAAACCAUCCUUUAGGUCUACAUUUAAGGUGGAAUACUCCUUUACACCAAGAUUUUUUGGUCUACAUUGAAAGAUUUUAGGUGAAAUAUUCCUUUGAACGAACUUUUGAAGUUUAUGUUCAAGGAUGUUGG